GCCAGGUGUGGUGGCGUGUGCCUGUAGUCCCAGCUACUCAGGAGGCUGAGGCAGGAGAAUCACUUGAACCUGGGAAGCGGAGGUUGCAGUGAGCCGAGAUCAUGCCACUGCACUCCAGCCCAGGUGACAGAGUGAGACUCUGUCUCAA
RNAcentral lists this non-coding RNA (148 nucleotides) under Chlorocebus sabaeus (green monkey). Lineage: Eukaryota; Metazoa; Chordata; Mammalia; Primates; Cercopithecidae. The record is from Rfam by way of RNAcentral.